Lutra lutra (Eurasian river otter) is the source of this 3278-nucleotide long non-coding RNA. RefSeq lists it as uncharacterized. The record is from RefSeq and is a predicted model, not a curated record. Lineage: Eukaryota; Metazoa; Chordata; Mammalia; Carnivora; Mustelidae. The transcript has 4 exons.
ACGCCAGAAGCUGGUCCAGGGCAAACAAGACAGGCUCCCGAGAGCCCUGAGAGCUCAAGUUCUCCUUUGCUCAUUGCAAACCUGUGCGAGACUGAGCACGAGGAUGAAAGCCACCAACGUGCAGCUCUGAACAGAAUGUACUGUUCACCGACUGUCCAUCCAUCAUCUUACCCCGUAUCCCAGAAGGCACAGUGUUCCCAUAAUAUAGUCGUUUAGUGGAAACCAAGCGUUCUGACCAUCCCUUUUUCUGUACUAGCUUGUUUAUUCCGAGUCGUAAAAACAGAGCAAGUGCCAAGGGGCCAAGAUGGCCUGUGGGAGGAAGAGCUUGUGUAACAGUUGCCCUUGGGGGGAAAGGCAGGCCCUUGGGAUAACUUCUGCUUUGAUGCAAGAUGGUCUCCUUGCAUUUUUAUGGGAUGGAGGUCAGCCUCCAUGGGAAGCAGCAGAAGCAAGGGAAAGGAUAGCAAGCAUAGGGACUGUGUGCGGUGCGUGGCCUGUGGCUCCCAUGGCGGCAGCACGGGAGCACACCUGGAGACCAGCCAGGCUUUCUCUGGGGAGAGUGGAGUGCAUGGCCCGUUUAUCUCCCCGGGCUCACUAUUCCUACAGUGAGCUGGUGGGCAUGUUCGCAAAGCUCACCCAGGAUGGACCACCAGCCGCAGAGCCCAGCACUGCAGUCCCUCUCUCGGGAGCCUUUCCGCUCUCUGGAAGAAUAACGUAGCUCCCUGUCCUUCCACUCAUCCUGAACCGUCUGAGGUCAAUAAAGCAAACCCUGUGGCUUCGUUAACCGUCGGGCAGCCCAGCAAGACAGAGAGACUAGCCCCACAACGGAUGGCUGUGGAAACAUAUGUGUGCCCCUGGGGGGGUGUGUGUGCAUGCAUGGUGUGUUUGCAUGCUUGUGCAUGGGUGUGCUGUGUGUGCGCAUGUGUGUGUUGCAUGUGUGCGUGGGUGGGAAUGCAUGUGUUGUGACAUGCGUGUGAGUGUGUGUUGCAUGUGUGCAGGUAUGUGCAUGGGUGUGUGGGUGUUUGUCAGGAAGCUGCUAAGAGAACAAGUUAUUACGGAUCACAGAGACCUGGAACCCUGUAACUGGGACACGGAAGGGUAGAUCCAGGAAUCAACAGAACAGGCCUGGAUGAGAUUUGAACCCCCAGCCUCACAUCACCGCGGCCCCAGCCAGGAGCUCGCUCACCGUUUGUCCAACAGAUGCCCAGACUGCGCAGAUGUUCCAGAUAAAGGAUUUGUCUUUUGGAAACUUAAAACCGUCCGCUCCGUGGAGGGCUACCCUACAGGAGCUGGGCCGGGAGCAGGGGCACAGGAAAGGUCAGCCCCGGAGGCUCUACUUUCCUCCCAGGAACGGGGUCCACAGGGGAAGGCGGGGCCAGCAGGAGCGGGAGGGGCAAUGUGGGCCUGGUGCCUGGUCUGGUCCUCCCGGGGCACCUGGGAAGGGCCCAUGGGGACCACAAUCACCUUCCUGCCCGGCUGCUGAGGAAAUCCCACACUAAGCCAGCUGGUGUGUCCUCUUCGGUUACUAACGUCCGCCGGACAUCCCGGCGGGGCACCGUGGCCCACGACAGCCACCUCUCCACCAAUGACAGCAUCGCAGACCGUGCCAUUUUGUACUUCUGUGUCCUCUUUCUCUCCAACUAGGUUCUAUAACCUAAAUACAGCUCCCAGGGGCUCACCACCUCCAACCAGAGACGUGAGUUGCAGAUAUGGUCCAAACACUGCCUCCCAGGUCCACCCUCCCAGGAUCCAAGGUCCCGGGUCUGCUGCCGUGGGGGGCUCCGGGUAGCCAACAGAAAGCACCAAACUUGAACUGGGGGAGGCCCAUGGGGAGGCAGAGCCCUGACCUCCAGGCAUCCUGGCCCAGCCAGAUCAGCACCAGAGAGAGCAAGAGAACUGCGAGCCUGGGCCAGGCCCUCAGGAGACACAGGCCAGAUCCUUGGGAGACACAGGAAACCCCCAAAUCCAAUGGGCUCUGGGGCCAUUGGCUCUGCAGAGAAGCUGGGAAAGUGCCAAAGGGCCUCAGGAAGCCCCUGACUCCUCCUUCCCUCUGACACCUGCUGCCCAGUCUGCCCAGGCCCUAGCCGCCACUGGCACGCCGACCUCAUACCUUCAGAACUCACCAGCACCCCCACGAAUGCCCCACAUCCAGGCUGACCCUUACAGGCAGUCGUCAGCAUCUGGUGGCCACCCCUUCCGCGAGGCCCCAUCCUCCUCCUGCCGCUCCCCGCCUUCCUGGAGGACAGAGCCAAGAUCCUCCCUGCAGGUCCCAGCCGGGGGUCCCCAGCCCGCUCCUUGCCCCUUCCUCUGUCCUUCACGACAUCGGCGCUUCUCGCUCUGUGUUUCUUCCUAGGGCGAAAAAGAAGUUGGUGUUGCGUCCUAUAGAAUACAAGGUCUUCAAAUUGUCCAGCAUCUAGAGUCCACGCCAGGAUGGGCCCUUGGUCAACGUGCUUGAUGCUGAUGACAGUCGUGCAGAGUGCUGUGGCAAAUGGUCAUUUGCCAGGAUGCAGCCUGACUGGCGUGGACACCCACCCCGCAGGACACCACCCUGAUGCAGAGAGGUCAACUCUCCAAGAAGCAAGUAGAGUUGAUAUAUGAGAAACAGAAUGCUUUCAUUCUGGGAAGAAGAAUUAAGCUCCUACAGUCCUGUUUUCCUGUGAUGGUUUCCAGGAUUUGGAGAGAAUUUAAAAAGUGGAGCCCGACAGGGUGAAUCAGCCACCUGGGACUGCUGGUAAUUCAGGAGAGUUUACUCAGUAGAAAAACAACACAGCACCCCGCCUUUGCCCAGAAGGCUCCCUGGCCCGCCGGGCCGCCUGCUCCCAGCAGGCCAGCCCCACACGCCCGUCCCUGGCUGGACAGGGUUCCGGCCAAGCACGGUGCAGCCCAGACAUCCUGGCCUAAUAAAGAAGAUUGAUUCACUCAGGAUACUUCCCCCUCAAUGUUUCUCAAAGAAAGUCUUUGUGGGAAGGACUUAAAUUCUUUUACUCCUGUAAGUCUGGAAAUGGGGCUAUGAACAGCAGCAGCCCGCGGAACCCGGCUGUGGGCAAAGAGCCCUCAGCAUAGCAGGUGGAGGAUGCUUGUUCCGCUCACAGUCGCUCCCCCCACUUGUGUGGACGCCGUCUUCCCGUUGUUUGCACAGCUCUUUGCAGCCCUAUCACAGCCAUGACGAAAUGAUGACUCACACUUAAAUGCAGUCAUCAUGUCAUACAUGGCAUUAACACUGCAGAGACAUUGCCGUCAGCCCCGUGCCUGUAAGAGGAAAAGACUCCUGGGAGCGUUCU